UACGUAGGGGGCAAGCGUUGUCCGGAUUUAUUGGGCGUAAAGAGCGUGUAGGCGGCCAGGUAGGUCUGCUGUGAAAACUCGAGGCUUAACCCCGAGCCUGCUUCUGAUACGGGCAGACUAGAGGUAUGCAGGGGAGAACGGAAUUCCUGGUGUAGCGGUGAAAUGCGCAGAUAUCAGGAGGAAUACCGGUGGCGAAGGCGGCAUCCUGGACCGACAUUGACGCUGAGGAGCGAAAGCUAGGGGAGCAAACGGG
This 253-nucleotide ribosomal RNA is filed under the name uncultured bacterium. Its description in RNAcentral is "partial 16S ribosomal RNA". It matches the Rfam family "Bacterial small subunit ribosomal RNA", at positions 524 to 776 of the family's 1533-position model. The record is from RNAcentral.